Non-coding RNA from Rattus norvegicus (Norway rat), 2315 nucleotides. The record is from RefSeq and is a predicted model, not a curated record. Lineage: Eukaryota; Metazoa; Chordata; Mammalia; Rodentia; Muridae.
UCCACAUUCCCUUUCCAGCUUACAAAAGGAGCGCCAAGGAAGGAGGACCUUGGCAGACAUCCAAGAUGGCCAAGGGAAAAGAAACCCCUGUUGGGGGAUGGGGGCCUGUGAGGCCUGGGACCCCACUGGGGAGCGGUCCUGGCUAGCAUGGGGCUCGUUUGUGUUAGGAUGAGACCAGUUGGAGGCGGGAAGGCCCUUAGCAUCCGGGAUUCUGGCAUAAUUUAGCCUUGGACUGGCUUUUCUCCAUCAGCUCUUCCCAGCGCUCUCCACCCUAAACCCACUGAGGACACAACAGGGUGUGUGUAAACCAGGUUGAGAGACAUGGCAGCCAAAGAGGUAGACAGAGCACACCACCAGAGGAUCUCUGAGGCAACAGCGACAGACCCGGAACGGUACCGCCAAGAAGAAAGCCCAGAGAUCUGUAAUCUGAAUUUAAAAGAUGCCCCAAGAGGUUGACCCAUACCCAUCAUGGUUUAAAAUAAAAAGCGUGUUUGUGAGCGUGUACACACACACACACGUCUGCAGUAGGUGGAAAGGUCAUGGGUUCAGAUGUUUCCUUCUGAUUGCAUUGGAGUCCACUCCAUGGGUAUCUCCUUCUUUCACCAAUCACCACCCCUGGCUGCUGGUGAAGGGAAUGUUAAGGAUAAGCCAGAGGGCUGGGGGCCAGAGGGCGGAGGAUGAGCAACAAAAGACAGCUCAGGGAAGUCCUGGAAAGAGCCUGACUCUGGAGGGGAAAGGAACAAUGGGCCUCUGUUUAGGGUCCACCUCCACUCACAGGUCCCGGCAAAGGGAAGCCUGGAGGCAAAUCAAACACCACCCACAUCCACAGGCUGCCCACAGAGGCAGGUGAGUCAGAGCCCAGGCUUAGCUGAUAACAGUCAGCAGCGGCCCAGAAUGCAGUCCUUGUUGACGGUUGCCACUACUCGCCCCCUCCUCAAGGCUGGGCCUGCCAGAGCAAGCCUGAGGGUGGGGCUGAUCAGGAAGCAGGGCUGGCUGGGAAAAGGAGAGAGGCCCAGCAGCCUACCCUGCAAGGUGUGCUCUGUGGUAACUUGAAGGUGCAGUGGGGCCAGCCGGCAGCAAGAAGAGUCAGCUCGGGGAAACCCACAAGCUUUUAUCCUGUGUUCAAUGUCAGCUGUGCUCUCAACCCACAAAUCCACUCAUUCCUCCAGGGGGGAAAUGCCACUGUCAGUACUAAGGCAAGACUCUAGGCUGAAAAGGGCCAAAAUUCAACUUGAAUGGGCUUGGGAGGAAAGUCGUCUUGAGUAAUCCUCAAGUGGGGCAAGGAUGGAGAAGGAUAGGAGGCUGAGGCCAGCCGGCUGGCAAGGACAUCUUCUGCAUCUUCCUUACGUGUCUCAGGGGCUGGCAUCCCAUUCUUCUGCAGAUAGGCUGUGCAUCCCUCCCAACCUAGGGAGAGAAACAUAACCACGUAACCCAGAUCGGGGUCACGCUCGUGGUUUCAUGACUAGAAAGAAAAUGUUAUCACUGGUCACCUGGUUUGGUUAGAGAGUUUGUAAGGACUUCUUGUAGGCUCCCCUCAAACUAUGUGACCAGAUCUGGGCCAGGCUCUCUAGCCAGGGAGAUGUGUUGAUGUAAUUUUCCCCGAGUCUUUGUCCCACCCAUUGUCAGACACAUGUGAGAAUAUCUCCUUGCUGUACACUUGGGGUCUCCUGUGACACAGCUGCUGGUUGACCCCCAUAACAAUGUUGCCUUUUCUCUCAUAGAUUGAAAGUCUUUCCUGGAGCUGGAGAGAUGGUUUAGUGGUUAAGAGUACAUACUUCUCUUACAGAAGACUGGACUUUGGUUCUUAGCAACCAUAUCUGGUGGCUCAAAAUACCCGUAUAACGCUACCUUUGAGGAGCUCUGACCUCUCUGACCUCCUUGGGUACCUGUAAGCACAGACACACACAGACACUAACACAUAUUUAUAAUUUAAAAGAAAUUAAAGGUUUUUCCUUUUUCUUUUUCUGGAUACAUGUCUUCUUGGCGAAAACCAAAACCAAGAACCCUACAUUUCCCAGAUUCCUUUGCAGCUAGGGGUCUGCAAUCCAUGAGUGUAAAAGUUCUGGUGUGAGCAAAGCAAUGUGUGCAGCUUACUCAUGGUGCCUUUAAAAGGAGGGAGUCGGGCUCCCCUGGCCUCUUUCUCCUACAUGGUACAGGCUACAAGCCAGUGUGAGGUCAUGUAUGUGAGGUCAUAUCUUGGGUCAUGUAUGCGAGAAUACAGGCAAAGGAACGGUACUGGAGCAAGACAAUCAGAAGCAGCCUGAGUCCUUGCUUCUGUUUUGGCCCUAAACUGUUUGUCUCUGGGCUUUUACACA